CAGCAGUGGGGAAUUUUGGACAAUGGGCGAAAGCCUGAUCCAGCCAUGCCGCGUGCAGGAUGAAGGCCUUCGGGUUGUAAACUGCUUUUGUACGGAACGAAAAGACUCUGGUUAAUACCUGGGGUCCAUGACGGUACCGUAAGAAUAAGCACCGGCUAACUACGUGCCAGCAGCCGCGGUAAUACGUAGGGUGCAAGCGUUAAUCGGAAUUACUGGGCGUAAAGCGUGCGCAGGCGGUUAUAUAAGACAGAUGUGAAAUCCCCGGGCUCAACCUGGGAACUGCAUUUGUGACUGUAUAGCUAGAGUACGGCAGAGGGGGAUGGAAUUCCGCGUGUAGCAGUGAAAUGCGUAGAUAUGCGGAGGANACANCCGNANUGGCGAAGGCAAUCCCCUGGGCCUGUACUGACGCUCAUGCACGAAAGCGUGGGGAGCAAACAGGACUAGAUACCCUGGUAGUCCACGCCCUAAACGAUGUCAACUGGUUGUUGGGUCUUCACUGACUCAGUAACGAAGCUAACGCGUGAAGUUGACCGCCUGGGGAGUACGNGCCGCAAGGUUGAAACUNCAAAGGAAUUGACGGGGACCCGCACAAGCGGUGGAUGAUGUGGUUUAAUUCGAUGCAACGCGAAAAACCUUACCCACCUUUGACAUGUACGGAAUCCUUUAGAGAUAGAGGAGUGCUCGAAAGAGAGCCGUAACACAGGUGCUGCAUGGCUGUCGUCAGCUCGUGUCGUGAGAUGUUGGGUUAAGUCCCGCAACGAGCGCAACCCUUGCCAUUAGUUGCUACGAAAGGGCACUCUAAUGGGACUGCCGGUGACAAACCGGAGGAAGGUGGGGGAUGAUGUCGGGGCCUAUGGCCCCUUAUAGGUGGGGCUUCACACGUCAUACAAUGUCUGGUAACGUAGUGUUUCUC
Molecule: ribosomal RNA, 913 nt
Filed under: uncultured Acidovorax sp.
Lineage: Bacteria; Pseudomonadati; Pseudomonadota; Betaproteobacteria; Burkholderiales; Comamonadaceae
Description: bacterial SSU rRNA
Rfam family: Bacterial small subunit ribosomal RNA
Source: RNAcentral